RNAcentral lists this ribosomal RNA (441 nucleotides) under uncultured bacterium. Its description in RNAcentral is "partial 16S ribosomal RNA". It matches the Rfam family "Bacterial small subunit ribosomal RNA", at positions 338 to 795 of the family's 1533-position model. The record is from RNAcentral.
CCUACGGGAGGCAGCAGUGGGGAAUAUUGCACAAUGGGGGGAACCCUGAUGCAGCAACGCCGCGUGGGUGAAGAAGUACUCCGGUAUGUAAAGAUCUGUCAGUGGGGACGAAACUUGACGGUACCCACAGAGGAAGCACCGGCUAACUCCGUGCCAGCAGCCGCGGUAAUACGGGGGGUGCAAGCGUUGUCCGGAAUCAUUGGGCGUAAAGAGUUCGUAGGCGGCACGUAAAGUCUGGUGUUAAAGGCAGAGGCUCAACUUCUGUACGGCACUGGAUACUUGCGAGCUAGAAUGCGGUAGAGGUAAAGGGAAUGCCUGGUGUAGCGGUGAAAUGCUUAGAUAUCAGGAGGAACAUCGGUGGCGUAAGCGCUUUACUGGGCCGUAAUUGACGCUGAGGAACGAAAGCCAGGGUAGCAAAUGGGAUUAGAUACCCCUGUAGUC